Molecule: long non-coding RNA, 3146 nt
Organism: Bactrocera dorsalis (oriental fruit fly)
Lineage: Eukaryota; Metazoa; Arthropoda; Insecta; Diptera; Tephritidae
Exons: 3
Source: RefSeq, a predicted model, not a curated record
UCUGAGAAAAAGGCGCCACGAUUACCCUUUUCGACGCAGUUAUCCAAGUUUUCAGGAAUGUAGUUAAAGGAAAAGAACGGAUUCCCUUAUAUAACAACAGAAAAAGGAGUUAUUAUCAUUAUCUUAUUGUACCUUAAUUCACAAAAAGGGCUAAAAUAUUGUCUGCAAAUCGACAUACAUAUAUCAACUUAACUUACUAUUAUGUUAUUGGGCGUUAUCAUACCUUACAAUAUACUUGAGGAACAUGAAUUUAGGAAUGACAAUGACAAUUAAAAUGACAACAACAAUAGGGUCGAUCAUAUUUAAAUUUUCAAAGUAAUUAGCAACGACUCCGAUGUAAGGUCACACACAGACGAAAAGCAAAAUUGCAAACUUAGCAGUAGUAACACAUUAUUCAAUAUUAAAAAUAUCCCUAAAAUACGAUGGCGCUAUUGAGCGUUAUCAUUUCUAAAUUUAAUUUUAAAUGUACUUGAGCCGAGAAACGAAACGACAACUGAAAUGAAUUUCAAGCUUCAAAGAAUAGCUGGUUUAAAGCUAAGUCAGCCCUUUCUUGUAAAGAAAAGUAAUGACGGAAGGCCAAGAUAGAGGAGGAGUAAGGUCACUAUCAACUGAUGUUAUGUAAACAAAGGCACAGCUGAGAGGUGCCACUGUAGAAACGCCAAGUGUAGUCCGGGGUUGAGUUUCUAUUUGAAUCCAAGAUGACCGACUUUUAACCGGAAAAUGGUUGCAUUGUGUUAUUUUCUUAAAAUUUAUGGAAAAGUUGUCCCAAAAAUAUUGGUUAUAUGUAAAAGUUUAAUAUAUUUUCAAAAGAAAAUCGUUUUAUUUUAAUAUACAUAUAUUCUUAAAGAUGAGAACAAUAUGAGCAAAUACAUGAAAAAUUAAGUUUUUUAUUUAUGCCUCUUUUUAACUGUGGUAAGUCAAUAAAUGUUCACCACAGAAAAAUGUUACGAACAAAUAAGUAACCAUGCCGAAUAGUGGGGUCUAGAUUAUGCUCAUUCACAGCCAUAUUUACAUUUUUGCCAUCGUAACGAAGGUAUUUGUAAAGACAAUUUGUUUUAGUUUAUUUCAUGGUUAAAUCCUUUGCGAUGGUUUAUUUAGUUAUUUGAAUCUAUAAAAAGUGUUUACAAUUUUCAUGGGACGAUAAACAACAGAUCGGCUGCGAUUUUAUUCCAUUAAAAGUACGAAAUAACCAAACAUGGCCACGUUAAUAUUGCUGCGUAAUGGGUCUGGUGCUGUUACAAUUUUAUGAUUUAAGGUUGGUACGCAGCUCUCAAGUAAUUGCUCAAGAACAAAAAUACAUUAUUUCUCAAGUAAUUUUGACAGCUGGUUACGCAUUGUGAAUGAUCCACAUUAGAAGAGCAAGAGAGAAUAAACAAAGUAAACAAACUUUGUGCGUAUGUAUGUGUAUGGUAACACAAAUAUUUUCAUUGAGAUUUAAGGAAUGUUGUUGAUGAUUGGUUGGUUUUAUACAACAUUUCAAAAUGGAACAUACUUUAUAAUAAUGAUUUCAACUAAUUUAGGCUGAAUUUGACGAUUACUUCGAAUUUCCUGCAAAAAACAAUUGUUGAUUUGAUGUUUCUUCGCAAAACCAGGUUUGCCAUAUUCACAUUUUAUUGAAAAAAAGUAUUAAAAAUUAGUACUAGCUUUCUUAAGAGCUGCGUACUAGCACAAGUAACUUUAUCGCAGGAACGUUUCUGGACCGUUUCUUAAGCGUUUUUUUAUAUGAAGUUUUUACGUUUCUUGAGAGCUGCGUACUAAGCUUUAAAAAAAAAAGCGAUACGCGAUGCUGUGAAGUACUCAAAUGUAGUUAUCAAAUUAGUUGGUCGUGAAUUCGAGACAAAAUUUUAAAUUCAAUGGCGUUCUCGUGUAAGAUGCUCAUCGCAUUGCUAGAAUCAGCAAAGGAGCUGGUAUAGAACGCUAGUCCCAAACCAAUGAGCUUUGUGCUUGAGGGUGGAAGCAACUUUUUGAAGAGCAAAUACUACGGUGAGCACAUUCGGAUGUUGCAUAACCUAUUGUAAAUUGCGCUUAGAAUCCCGGUACUGCUGGUCAGGUUUAUCAGGCUGUUGGACCAAAGCGUUACCAGUUGAGCGAAUUAAUUGACUGGUUUCAUCGUGUUAAGCGUAAAGAUGAAAAAUGGUGGGGAUACCGUCAUUAAGACAUGUGUUGUAAUCCUACCUUCUUAUUGAAAGCCAAGUUCACGAAUGUAUUACCGAUGUCGUUCCCUCCAACAUACCGUGGUUGUAGAAUUUUGGUGUACAAUCCAUGGAAGAGCAAGUACCAUGAGAAUUAUGACCAUAUCGUGCUGCGCAAUAUCAUGAUGCCGAAUUGGGGAGUGGGGAGAACCAGCUCCACCAAAACCGAUAGAACAUCGGGAUGAACUACGCAAAUAAUAAACAACACUCAUCAAAUGAAAGUUGGCAGCGUUGGUGACUAAGCAGCGAUUUGAAAAAGAAACAUUUGCAUCUACGCGAAUUACAAUUCGUCUUUACAUCUAGUGAAUUAUGGUCGAUUAUGAAUGGUGUGGAAGUUGAUAUUUAAACUUUGAAAAACAAAUAAAUGUAAUUUGGCUAAUAUUGAUAUUUAAACUUAAAAAAAAAAAAUAAAUGUAAUUUGGCUAAUAUUGAUAUUCAAACUUUACAAACAAAUAAAUGUAAUUUGGCUAAUAAUGAGCCGCUAUUAAAAGUUAAGGAAUUUGAGUUGUAUUUUUAAUUGGGCCAAACAAGUUAUUAUCGAUUUGAAUAACUUCAAACGGAAUAUAUUUCGAACAAUCAUUUAUUUUUUUAAAUACUAUGCCGGUAUCGCUACUGAGCAUGGCAAAAUAGUGUUGCGUGAGCUAAUUUAAACUACUUUUUACUACUAUAUAGAUAUUGCAAAUUCAAAAAUUAAUUUCUUUAAGAAUCCUUUUUAUUUAAAAACUUAGCUUAGAACUAAAAAAUAGUGUGGUAAAUCUGUUAGGAUAAUCAAACACUCCAUUUGGGAAUGAGUAGGAUUCCUGAUCGCCGGCGUAUAGCUAAAUUCUGACAUUUAAAACGUGUACGUAGUUUGUGAUUACAAAAAUUUAUAAUUAAAAUAUAGAAAACAUGGCUAUUAUAAUUAUCUCUUGAUUUAUCUUACAAUAAAAAAAUGUGUUUUACUGUUCAGACGAA